RNAcentral lists this long non-coding RNA (290 nucleotides) under Homo sapiens (human). RNAcentral's name for it is "non-protein coding lnc-TUBB2B-6:1". Lineage: Eukaryota; Metazoa; Chordata; Mammalia; Primates; Hominidae. The record is from RNAcentral.
GAUCACUUCCCAAUGCCCUCCCUCACCUCUGUGUUGAAUUUAGAUGCCUCCUGUGUGACCUCAUCACAUGGUGUGAGCAGGGCAUCUGGGCCAGGUGUGACCUCAUCACAUGGUGUGACCUCACUUUUUUUUAAAGAAGGGAAUGAAUUUUUUUUUAAGGAGGGAACAAAUAUAAAAAAUCUUUGUCCUAGAGUCAGAAAACCAAGGUUCAGGUCCUACAGUUGAGACCUUCUUAGCUCUGUAACUUUGAGUAAUUUACUGUAGAGAGCUGAUGUUGGUUCCUUGAAGUG